Molecule: ribosomal RNA, 331 nt
Filed under: uncultured eukaryote
Lineage: Eukaryota
Description: partial 18S ribosomal RNA
Rfam family: Eukaryotic small subunit ribosomal RNA
Source: RNAcentral
CCCUUAGAUGUUCUGGGCCGCACGCGCGCUCCACUGUUCGACGCAGCGAGUCUUAACCUUGACCGAAAGGUUUGGGUAAUCUUCAGCAAAGUCGAACGUGAUGGGGAUCGAUCAUUGCAAUUAUUGAUCGUGAACGAGGAAUUCCUAGUAAGUGCAAGUCAUCAGCUUGCGCUGAUUACGUCCCUGCCCUUUGUACACACCGCCCGUCGCUACUACCGAUUGAAUGGUUUAGUGAGAUCUCUGGAUUGACGCUGGCUAGGGGGCGACCCUUGGCCAGACUGUUGAGAAACUGCUCAAACUUGAUCAUUUAGAGGAAGUAAAAGUCGUAACA